UAGCCAGGUUGCUUUGCAGCCAGGUUGCUUUGCAACAGCUAGGUUGCUUUGCAACAGCCAGGUUGCUUUGCAGCCAGGUUGCUUUGCAACAGCUAGGUUGCCCUGUAGCCAGGUUGCUUUGCAGCCAGGUUGCUUUGCAACAGCCAGGUUGCUUUGCAGCCAGGUUGCUUUGCAACAGCCAGAUUGCUUUGCAGCCAGGUUGCCCUGUAGCCAGGUUGCUUUGCAGCCAGGUUGCUUUGCAACAGCUAGGUUGCUUUGCAACAGCCAGGUUGCUUUGCAGCCAGGUUGCUUUGCAACAGCUAGGUUGCUUUGCAACAGCCAGGUUGCUUUGCAGCCAGUUGCUUUGCAACAGCCAGGUUGCUUUGCAACAGCCAGGUUACUUUGCAACAGCCAGGUUGCUUUGCAACAGCUAGUUUGCUUUGCAGCCAGGUUGCUUUGCAACAGCCAGGUUGCUUUGCAACAGCCAGGUUGCUUUGCAACAGCCAGGUUGCCCUGUAGCCAGGUUGCUUUGCAACAGCCAGGUUGCUUUGCAGCCUGGAUGCCCUGGUUGCAGGUUGACUGCAAGUGUGAUUAUUUUUCUGGUUUGUAACUGAAGAUAUUCUUGCUUUUGUUUCUCAGUUGGUUUUUAUAUCAUUUCUUAUGUCUCUUUGUUUUAUAAGAAAACAAUUAAAAGCAAAAUUUCCGA
Long non-coding RNA from Poeciliopsis prolifica (blackstripe livebearer), 685 nucleotides. RefSeq lists it as uncharacterized. The transcript is spliced from 2 exons. The record is from RefSeq and is a predicted model, not a curated record. NCBI's taxonomy places the organism in Eukaryota, Metazoa, Chordata, Actinopteri, Cyprinodontiformes, Poeciliidae.